RNAcentral lists this ribosomal RNA (440 nucleotides) under uncultured bacterium. Its description in RNAcentral is "partial 16S ribosomal RNA". It matches the Rfam family "Bacterial small subunit ribosomal RNA", at positions 338 to 795 of the family's 1533-position model. The record is from RNAcentral.
CCUACGUGAGGCAGCAGUGGGGAAUAUUGCACAAUGGGCGAAACCCUGAUGCAGCAACGCCGCGUGCGUGAAGAAGUCUUUCGGUAUGUAAAGCUCUAUCAGCAGGGAAGAGAAUGACGGUACCUGUCUCAGAAUCCGCGGCUAACUACGUGCCAGCAGCCGCGGUAAUACGUAGGGGGCAAGCGUUAUCCGGAUUUACUGGGUGUAAAGGGAGCGUAGACGGCUGGCCAAGUCAGAAGUGAAAGCCCGGGGCUUAACCCCGGAACGGCUGUGGAUACUGGCCGGCUGGAGUGCUGGAGAGGUAGGCGGAAUGCCUGGUGUAGCGGUGAAAUGCGUAGAUAUCAGGAGGAACACCGGUGGCGAAGGCGGCCUCCUGGACAAUAACUGACGUUGAGGCACGAAAGCGUGGGGAGCAAACAGGAUUAGAUACCCGGGUAGUC